UGGGGAAUUUUGGACAAUGGGCGAAAGCCUGAUCCAGCAAUGCCGCGUGUGUGAAGAAGGCCUUCGGGUUGUAAAGCACUUUUGUCCGGAAAGAAAUCCUUGGCUCUAAUACAGUCGGGGGAUGACGGUACCGGAAGAAUAAGCACCGGCUAACUACGUGCCAGCAGCCGCGGUAAUACGUAGGGUGCAAGCGUUAAUCGGAAUUACUGGGCGUAAAGCGUGCGCAGGCGGUUUGCUAAGACCGAUGUGAAAUCCCCGGGCUCAACCUGGGAACUGCAUUGGUGACUGGCAGGCUAGAGUAUGGCAGAGGGGGGUAGAAUUCCACGUGUAGCAGUGAAAAUGCGUAGAGAUGUGGAGGAAUACCGAUGGCGAAAGGCAGCCCCCUGGGCCAAAUACUGACGCUCAUGCACGAAAAGCGUGGGGAGCAAACAGGAUUAGAUACCCUGGUAGUCCACGCCCUAAAACGAUGUCAACUAGUUGUUGGGGAUUCAUUUCCUUAGUAACGUAGCUAACGCGUGAAGUUGACCGCCUGGGGAGUACGGUCGCAAGAUUAAAAACUCAAAGGAAUUGACGGGGUCAUAGCUGUUUCCU
RNAcentral lists this ribosomal RNA (591 nucleotides) under uncultured bacterium. Its description in RNAcentral is "partial 16S ribosomal RNA". It matches the Rfam family "Bacterial small subunit ribosomal RNA", at positions 355 to 1375 of the family's 1533-position model. The record is from RNAcentral.